UGAGGAAUAUUGCACAAUGGAGGAAACUCUGAUGCAGCCAUGCCGCGUGCAGGAUGACGGCCCUACGGGUUGUAAACUGCUUUUUUACAAGAAGAAACCUUGGUACGUGUACCAACUUGACGGUAUUGUAAGAAUAAGCACCGGCUAACUCCGUGCCAGCAGCCGCGGUAAUACGGAGGGUGCAAGCGUUAUCCGGAUUUAUUAGGUUUAAAGGGUUCGCAGGCGGAAUUUUAAGUCAGUGGUGAAAGCCUAUAGCUUAACUAUAGAACUGCCACUGAUACUGAUAUUCUUGAGUGUAGAUGAAGUGGGCGGAAUAUGUCAUGUAGCGGUGAAAUGCAUAGAUAUGACAUGGAACACCAAUUGCGAAGGCAGCUCACUAAACUAUUACUGACGCUCAUGAACGAAAGCAUGGGGAGCGAACAGG
RNAcentral lists this ribosomal RNA (424 nucleotides) under uncultured bacterium. RNAcentral's name for it is "bacterial SSU rRNA". It matches the Rfam family "Bacterial small subunit ribosomal RNA", at positions 355 to 776 of the family's 1533-position model. The record is from RNAcentral.